This 205-nucleotide microRNA precursor is filed under the name Leersia perrieri. Its description in RNAcentral is "MIR812 microRNA precursor family". It matches the Rfam family "MIR812 microRNA precursor family". Lineage: Eukaryota; Viridiplantae; Streptophyta; Magnoliopsida; Poales; Poaceae. The record is from Rfam by way of RNAcentral.
AAUGUUUGAUGCUGUUGACUUUUUUACACAUGUUUGACCGUUCGUCUUAUUAAAAAAAUAUAUGAAAUUAUUAAUUCUUUUCCUAUCAUUUGAUUCAUUAUUAAAUAAACUUUUAUGCACACGUAUACUUUUAUAUGUUUUAUAAAAGGUUUUGAAUAAGACGAACGGUCAAACGUGUGUUAAAAAGUCAACGACGACAAAUAUU